Molecule: transfer RNA, 72 nt
Filed under: Actinomadura viridilutea
Lineage: Bacteria; Bacillati; Actinomycetota; Actinomycetes; Streptosporangiales; Thermomonosporaceae
Description: tRNA-Val
Rfam family: tRNA
About the family: Transfer RNA (tRNA) molecules are approximately 80 nucleotides in length. Their secondary structure includes four short double-helical elements and three loops (D, anti-codon, and T loops).
Source: RNAcentral
GGGCGAUUAGCUCAGUGGGAGAGCGCUACCUUGACACGGUAGAGGUCACUGGUUCGAUCCCAGUAUCGCCCA